CGUUUUCAUUAAUCAAGAUCGAAAGUCGGGGGAUCGAAACCGAUCAGAUACCGUUGUAGUCCCGACCAUAAACUAUGCCGACUAGGGAUCGGACGACGCUUAUUUGUUUGGCCCGUCCGGCACCUUUCGAGAAAUCAAAGUCUUUGGGUUCCUGGGGGAGUAUGGUGGCAACGCUGAAACUUAAAGAAAUUGACGGAAGGGCACCACCAGGGGUGGAGCCUGCGGCUUAAUUUGACUCAACACGGGGAAACUCACCAGGUCCAGACACGGCGAGGAUUGACAGACUGACAGCUCUUUCUUGAUUUCGUGGGUGGUGGUGCAUGGCCGUUCUUAGUUGGUGGAGUGAUUUGUCUGCUUAAUUGCGAUAACGAACGAGACCUUAUCCUGCCAAAUAGCCCGCGCCGCCUCGGCGGCGUGCCGGCUUCUUGGAGGGACUAUCGGCUCAAGCCGAUGGAAGUUUGAGGCAAUAACAGGUCUGUGAUGCCCUUAGAUGUUCUGGGCCGCACGCGCGCGACACUGACGGGGCCAGCGAGUACUCCUUGCCCGAGAGGGUUGGGUAAUCUUGUGAAACCCCGUCGUGCUGGGGAUAGAGCAUUGUAAUUGUUGCUCUUCAACGAGGAAUCCUAGUAAGCGCGAGUCAUCAGCUCGCGUUGAAUACGUCCCUGCCCUUUGUACACACCGCCCGUCGCUACUACCGAUCGAGCGGCUCAGUGAGGUCUUCGGACCGGACGCCGGUGGUCGGAAACGUCCGCCAGCGGCUGGAAAGUUGCCCAAACUCGGUCGCUUAGAGGAAGUAAAAGUCGUAACAAGGUCUCCGUCGGUGAACCUGCAGAAGGA
This 837-nucleotide ribosomal RNA is filed under the name uncultured eukaryote. RNAcentral's name for it is "bacterial SSU rRNA". It matches the Rfam family "Eukaryotic small subunit ribosomal RNA", at positions 965 to 1825 of the family's 1831-position model. The record is from RNAcentral.